UCAGCUUCAGCCAACAAGAAGAACCGUAUUCAAGUCUCUAACACCAAAAAGCCCCUCUUUUUCUACGUUAAUCUCGCCAAGAGAUACAUGCAGCAACACAAUGAAGUUGAACUCUCUGCUCUUGGGAUGGCUAUAGCAACAGUUGUAACCAUCACUGAGAUCUUGAAGAAUAAUGGGCUUGCUGUUGAGAAAAAGAUCAUGACUUCAACUGUUGACAUGAGAGAGGAAACAGGAGGGCGACCUGUGCCAAAAGCAAAGAUUGAAAUAUUGCUUGGGAAGACAGAAAAGUUUGACGAGUUGAUGGCUGCUGCUACAGAGGAAUUGAUAGAUAACGAGGAGCAGAGCUGAGCUUGAAAAAGCAAAUUCAGUGGGCCCCUUAAGUUCAUUGUGAACAUCUGUAACAAUCUGUUUUAGAUUGGAUAAAGAAUCUGUUUUAGAUUGGAUUUUAUCAAGUUUAUUAGUUGUUAUUAUAUUUAUUGCAGGAGG
RNAcentral lists this unclassified non-coding RNA (486 nucleotides) under Hevea brasiliensis (rubber tree). Lineage: Eukaryota; Viridiplantae; Streptophyta; Magnoliopsida; Malpighiales; Euphorbiaceae. The record is from RNAcentral.